Molecule: ribosomal RNA, 900 nt
Filed under: uncultured bacterium
Lineage: Bacteria
Description: bacterial SSU rRNA
Rfam family: Bacterial small subunit ribosomal RNA
Source: RNAcentral
UACGAGAACUCUUCUGCUUGCAGAAGAUAGUAAAGUGGCGCACGGGUGAGUAACGCGUGGGUAAUCUACCUCUGAAUCGGGGAUAACUCCGCGAAAGCGGAGCUAAUACCGGAUAAUAUCUUUUUUACUUAGGCAAAUAAGAUCAAAGGUGGCCUCUACAUGUAAGCUACUGUUUGGAGAUGAGCCCGCGUACCAUUAGCUUGUUGGUGGGGUAAUAGCCUACCAAGGCUUCGAUGGUUAGCUGGUCUGAGAGGAUGAUCAGCCACACUGGAACUGACACACGGUCCAGACUCCUACGGGAGGCAGCAGUGGGGAAUUUUGCGCAAUGGGGGAAACCCUGACGCAGCAACGCCGCGUGAGUGAUGAAGGCCUUCGGGUCGUAAAGCUCUGUCAAGUGGGAAGAAAAUGCUUGAUGCUAAUACCAUCUUGCACUGACGGUACCACUGAAGGAAGCACCGGCUAACUCCGUGCCAGCAGCCGCGGUAAUACGGGGGGUGCAAGCGUUAUUCGGAAUCAUUGGGCGUAAAGGGCGCGUAGGCGGUCUCUUAAGUCAGAUGUGAAAGCCCGGGGCUCAACCCCGGAAGUGCAUUUGAAACUAAGGGACUUGAGUAUGGGAGAGGGAAGUGGAAUUCCUGGUGUAGAGGUGAAAUUCGUAGAUAUCAGGAGGAACACCGGUGGCGAAGGCGACUUCCUGGACCAAUACUGACGCUGAGGCGCGAAGGCGUGGGGAGCAAACAGGAUUAGAUACCCUGGUAGUCCACGCAGUAAACGGUGAACACUAGGUGUAGCGGGUAUUGACCCCUGCUGUGCCGCAGCUAACGCAUUAAGUGUUCCGCCUGGGGAGUACGGUCGCAAGAUUAAAACUCAAAGGAAUUGACGGGGGCCCGCACAAGCGGUGGA